AAUAAAGAGCAAAUAAGGACAGAAAAGAAACAAGACGGUGCCUUUUGUGUUUGUUGUAAUAUUUUUAAAAUUUUCCCGUUCUCCUUCUGCAGUAGGCCUGAAAGGUCACAAGGUAAGUGUUUUUCAUUCAUAUCCCUGAGCUGAAGGUAUCUGGAGAUGAUAAAACUUUUUUUUUUUUUUUUUUUUUGUUCUCCCUUUUCCUUUCAAAUCCUCCUGUCAAGGUGCCCAGAACAAUGCUUCUGGAGCAGAUGGAGAAGGCAUGCAAAGCCAUGCUGGGAAACCACGUUUCCAGAAAUGGUGUCUGUGUGAGCCCUGUCUUCUACAGCAAGAGCCACCUGGGGAAGCCUACCAUGCCGUCCUCUCUAUCCUGCACACAUGUCCAACAGGGCCCUUAACACCUGGCCAUGCCUAACACUUAUUAAGUUGGCACCUGCUUCUAGAGACCCCAUGCUUUUUACCUGGAGGCCAACAAAGGAUGUCACCACCAGGCUCUAGCCCGAUGGUGGUGCUGGGAAGAAUCUUGAGAUAGUAGCCACGUCUGCAGCCAACAUCAAUGCUGUCACUCUAAGGAACAAGACACUGCAGGCCGCCCCAGAAAAACAGAUGUAUUUGUCUGGUGUCUGCAGGCCCCUUAAACCAGAAGGUAAGGAUUUGAUGGAAAGUGCCUAAGACUCCACAGAUUCUCUUUCAGUGUCAGAGACUGUCGUCUUAUAAUGGAUGUUGCAAUCUGUAUUACUCAAUUAUACCUCCAGACUAAAUGGAUCAGAGGAAAACAACCAACAGCAUUAAACAGUGUUCACACCAUACCACGGCUGUGCCAUUUCAUUAUCUUAUUUAGACCCCACAGCCAGGACUAGAUGGGUAUGAUUAAAAAAUAGUCAAUCCUAUGGUAGUUAUAGUUUUAGUUUUUUGAAGAACCUCCAGGCUGUUUUCCAUAGUGGUUGCACCAACAUACAUUCCCACCAACAGUGUAAGAGGGUUCCCUUUUCUCCACACCCUCUCCAGCAUUUAUUGUUUGUAGACAUUUUGAUGACAGCCAUUCUCUACCAUGUGAUCCAGGAAUCCUAAUCCAGAGAAAACCAUAAUUCAAAAGGAUACAUGUAUCCCAAUGUCCAUUGCAGCACUAUUACAAUAGCCAAGACAUGGAAGCAACCUAAACGUCCAUCAACAGAGGAAUGGAUAAAGAAGAUGUGGUACAUAUACACAAAGGAAUAUAAGUCAGCCACAAAAAAGAAUGAAAUGAUACCAUUUGCAACAAUAUGGAUGGACCUAGAGACUAUCAUCCUAAACGAAGUGAGUCAGACAGUGAAAGACAAACACCACAUGAUAUCACCUAUAUGUGGAAUCCAAAAAAGGAUACAAAUGAACUUAGUUGCAGAAUGGAAACAGACUCACAUACUCUGAAAAAUUUAUGGUUUCCAAAAAGGUGGCAGGGAGGGACUGGGGGUUUGGGAUUGGCCUAUGCAUACUGAAGUACAUGAAUGAUUGGCCAAUGGGGACCUGCUCUAUAGCACAAGGAACUCUACCCAGUAUUCUGUGAUCUAUGUGGGGAAAGAAUCUGAGAGAGAAUGGAUGCGUAUGCAUGUAUAGCUGGGUCACUUUGCUGUAUAGCAGAAAUUAUCACAACCUUGUAAAUUAACUAUUCUUCAAUAAAACUUUAAAACAAACAGUCCAUCCUGGGGUGGGGGAGGUCUCUGGAAAGGGGCCCAUAAAUAGCACCCUGCUUCACGUGAGAUCUGAACAACUGAAAAACAAAACAAAGGAGUAGCAGCGGGAGGCCAAAAUAAAAACUUUAUUCCCAAUAAAGGCCCACUGACAAGACACUGCUUAGUGUGAGUGCCCCAGAGGUACGCAGAAUUGCUCUCCCAGGCAGAGGGAUGCUGGACCUGGGAAGAUGGCCUGUUCCGUGGAGAGGGGGAAGAGGUCACAUGCCUCCUGCAGGCAGGCAGACAGCUCCCCAGAAAGCAAGGGGAGUGGUAUUUUUCCUAAAUGUGCCAAUCCACUAAAUCACCCCACUGGAGCAAGUGAGUCAAACAAGGAGAGGACCCGGAACGCCACACCUCCUGCACAGAAAGAACCAUCAGGAGUGGGGAGCAAGCUCUCCCUCCCCAGCACUGCCGCAGGAUGCGGCAACUGACCAGCGAGACAUUAGGAGGUUUCACUCAUGCUACUCAGUUAGCAAAAGGUGAUGCCACAGCUCUGGAUGGCCAAACCCAAGGAUACCACAUCAGCUACGGAGAGUCACUCCGAAGGACAGAAGGACAGUCAUCAGCCACUUCCCACCACUGUCCACGAGCCACCUCCUCCCCUAGCUUGGCUUCUCAAGUUUCAUUCGUCUGCCAACACUCUCCUUCUCGAAGCUGAUGUUUAACGCUGUCUAAUCACCACCCAGCACACUCACGGAAGACCUAUGUCAGAGAAGGUAACUCCAAGUUCUUCACAGCUCAAUCUGCAGGAGAAGCCUGCUCUGGAGGACUUGGUGGCUCAUUUACAGCCCAACCCCUCCUUAUUUGUCUUGGCCUCGUAUGCAGCCUUGCCUUCCUCCAGCUUGACACUGGAGAAGGAAUUUCAGAAAAUCCUCUCUUCUAGUUACUAAAGGGAUGUUAUCGAAAACACUAUCCAUUUUGUUGUUUGGUCUCCUGUAAUCAACACACACAUACACACACUGCUUUUAGCCAUUUGAGCUGUGUUUUUUCCUAGUUAGGAUACUCUUUGCCUAAGGUCCCUACAAUCAAUGUACAUUCUGUUAUAAAUCAUGCCAGUAAACUGUGUUUCCCUUUUUAAUGUGGUCAUCAGGAAACUCAAAACCAAAUCUGUGGUUCAAUGUCAAACAGUGUAAGUCAAUGAAGCUCAUGUAACCCCAACUUCUCCCUCUCCUGAAACUCUCCCUCUUACCCCCCCACCUCGUGUCUAUUUAUAUUCUCCAGACAACAACAUUUGUGCUCUCUUACUAGGUAUUCUUGGAGGAAAUAGCAAAUUCCAUGGAAAGACAGAGAUGAAAUGCAUCCUUAAUUUUCUUCAUUAAUUUAUAAUGAAUUAAUUUCAAAUUUCAAAAAAUAUUCAACAAAUACACACUGCCUGGGUGUUUUAAUUUUAGACUCAGAACAUAAAAUCCUAUUUCAUCCAAAUUUCCGAGUAUUUAACAAGUUUUCAUCUUGUUCACCAAAUUUGUACAAUUAGAAUUGUUUUUUUUUUUUAUCCGGUUGCUGACUCAUAAAUUUUUAUUACAUUCUAUUUUUCAACACAGUGAUUCUUAAACUUGUUUUCUUGUAUCACUUAGCUAAUUCACAGUGUUAAGAGAAGCAUUCAGAGAACGAAGCAUUUGACCCAGGUUAAUUCUGUUUUAUUUCUACAAGUCUAUUCUAGACUUAAACUCAUUGCAUGUUUUAUUUUACCACUUUAUAUGCCAUGGAAAAAAUCUUGACUGUUCGUAAAUUUUGACAAAAGACCCUCACUAAACUUAUCUUCCAAAGACUCUCUGUUGGCAUCUUCAGCUAAGUGUAAUCUCCUUUAUACCCCAUUGCCUCUUGAGAUGGGAAGGGACUUUUUUCGGUUCUUGUUUUGGUUAGUGUUUUCCCCCAGAAAUAUCAACUGUUGCUGUCACUCUGACCAAAGUAGGUUAUCUCAUUGUUGGUUCCAUAAGCCAAGCUUAUUUCUUGCAAAAUAUUUUUUAAUAAUCCAAAGUCCAACCACUAGAACAGUUGUCAUCAGUUUGGCCUUCAAUAACAGAAGCAAAAGGGACAGAAAAUAUCCCUUUAUUUUCUACAUCUUUAUAGAUAAAGAACAUUUAAGAGCAUUUUAUUUUUUGUAUCUUCUUUGCUUAUUCCAUUCUUUGAUUUAGACAGUGAAGAGAAACUGGUAAGGGGUUUUUGUUUUGCUUUGUUUUGUUUUAAUGUCAGGUGUAUGGUAACAUUUAUUUUUAAAAAAGAAAUAAGACACUGAGUUCUUAUAUUCACACAAUCUAUGUGAAUCAUUAACUCAUUUCUUCUUCCAUUCGUUCACCAAAUAUUUACACAGCACCGUCUCUCUGCAGACAUCAUUCUGUGGGCAAUCAAGGAGAGAACAAGCCAUAUUGUGGAGGAAGCCAGAGAAAGCAGUGCCAAAACACCUGUCCCCUGGGAGCCAACAAGCUACUUUAGGAAACACAGCACGUCCAGGGCCUAGCAUACCAUAGGUGCUACAUAGGUGUGGGCCAUAUUGCACUGUAACCACAUAAACAAUUGCAUGUCUCCAAUUCAACCGCAUGUCAACGUGUCCACAUGAACACAGACCAACCUGAGAAGCUGUGGGCUGGCAUCACAGGCAUUACUCAGAAAGCAAGACCAUUAGAGUCUACUAAUUUAUUUAUUUUUUAUUCAUUUAUUAUUUACUUUUUUGCUCUUUAGGGCCACACCACAGCAUAUAGAAAUUCCCAGGCUAGGGAUCAAAUCAGAGCUACAGCUGCCAGCCUAUGCCACAGCCAUAGCAACGUGGGAUCCCCAAUCCACUGACCAAGCCCAGGGAUCGAACCCUCAUCCUCAUGGAUACUACUCGGAUCUGUUUCUGCUGCACCACAACAGGAACUCCCAGACUCUAAUAACUUAAAUUCACCCAUACUAUUUCAGUAAAUUUUCUCAGUGUAGCCCUUGCUUGUUUGUCCCCUUAAAAUUGGGAUGUACUUUAAGAAUUUAGGCUCUGAAAUUAGACUAUCCAGACUGUUUUUCAUAGAUAUAUGUUACUUAUAAUAAAACACAAGAUCUAAAGAUUUUGAGCAUUCAGUCAAUGGGUUUCACCAAAUGUACAGACCUUGUAACCACCACUUAAAUAAGAGAGGCCAUUUCCAUCACCCUAGAAAGUUUCCCUAUGCCCCUUACCAGGGAAUCGCUUUCUGAUUUCUAUUACUAUACAUCAAUUUUGUCUGUUCUUGGAAUUCCUGUUGUGGCUCAGCGGUAAACGAAUCCGACUAGCAUCUAUGAGGAUGCGGGUUUGAUCCCUGGCCUCACUCAGU
RNAcentral lists this long non-coding RNA (4987 nucleotides) under Sus scrofa (pig). RNAcentral describes it as "lncRNA (ENSSSCG00000059720.1)". Lineage: Eukaryota; Metazoa; Chordata; Mammalia; Artiodactyla; Suidae. The record is from RNAcentral.